This 2184-nucleotide ribosomal RNA is filed under the name seawater metagenome. Its description in RNAcentral is "bacterial LSU rRNA". It matches the Rfam family "Bacterial large subunit ribosomal RNA", at positions 14 to 2169 of the family's 2925-position model. The record is from RNAcentral.
AGGGCUGACGGCGGAUGCCUAGGCGCACAGAGGCGAUGAAGGACGUGACUAGCUGCGAAAAGCUUCGGAGAGGUGCUAAGUGACCUAUGACCCGGAGAUGUCCGAAUGGGGAAACCCGUGACGGUUCGACCGUCCAUCUCACACUGAAUACAUAGGUGUGUUGAGGCCAACCAGGUGAAGUGAAACAUCUCAGUAGCCUGAGGAAAGGAAAUCAAACGAGACUCUGCUAGUAGCGGCGAGCGAACGCGGAAGAGGGCAAACCGUUGGGAUUCGUCCCAGCGGGGUUGUAGGACCCCAAUAUGGGAUCACAAUCGAUAGCGGAAGGAUCUGGAAAGUUCCUCGACACAAGGUGAUAGGCCUGUACGCGAAAUCGAGCGUGACUCUAGGGUGUUCCUGAGUACCACAGGGCACGUGAAACCCGGUGGGAAUCUGGGAGGACCACCUUCCAACCCUAAGUACUCCUGUGCGACCGAUAGUGAACAAGUACCGUGAGGGAAAGGUGAAAAGCACCCCGGUUAGGGGAGUGAAAUAGUACCUGAAACCGUCAGCUUACAAGCCGUUCGAGGGCUAUGUAUCACGCCUGAGAGCGUUCCUUUUGUAUGAUGAGUCCGCGAGUUACGAUGUGUUGCAAGGUUAAGCCGUGAGGUGUAGCCGAAGGGAAACCGAGUGUGAAGUGCGCGUUAAGUAGCAUGUCGUAGACCCGAAGCGUUGUGAUCUACACAUGGCCAGGUUGAAGCGCGGGUAAAACUGCGUGGAGGACCGAAUCCACCGAAGUUGAAAAUUCGGGGAAUGAGCUGUGUGUAGGGGUGAAAGGCUAAUCAAACUACGUGAUAGCUGGUUCUCCCCGAAAAAUAUUUAGGUAUUGCGUCGAGCAAUUCACUACUGGAGGUAGAGCACUCAAUGGGCUAGGGCCCUUACCAGGGUACCAAACCUAAUGAAACUCCGAAUGCCAGUAAGUGUUAUCUCGGCAGGCAGGCUAUGGGUGAUAAGGUCCAUAGCCGAGAGGGAAAGAGCCCAGAUCGCCAGCUAAGGUCCCCAAAUCUAUGCUAAGUGGAAAACGAUGUGGGUUCGCAUAGACAACCAGGAGGUUGGCUUAGAAGCAGCCACCCUUUAAAGAAAGCGUAAUAGCUCACUGGUCAAGCGAACCUGCGCGGAAAAUUCAACGGGGCUAAAGCAUAGUACCGAAGCUGCGGGUUCUCGUUUACGAGAGCGGUAGGGGAGCAUCGAAGUUGUCUGUGAAGGUCGAUCGCGAGGACGGCUGGAGACCCUUCGAGGGCAAAUGCGGACAUGAGUAGCGAUAAAACGGGUGAGAAACCCGUUCGCCGAAAACCUAAGGUUUCCUGGGCUAGGCUCAUCCUCCCAGGGUUAGUCGGAUCCUAAGUCGAGGCCUACGGGCGUAGGCGAUGGGAAGCAGGUUAAUAUUCCUGCACCACCGAGUUAGCGAAGAAACCAGCCAGGACGGAGAAGGGUAGGCAAGCCGGUUGUAGGUUAUGCCCGGCUCAAGCAAGUAGAGGUCUCGCAUACGAUCAAAAGGUGCGAGAGCUAUCCUCGAGAUGUGAUGAGAGCGCAACGCUACGGCAGCGCGCGAACUUGCCGGUCCCAUGCUUCCAAGAAAAGUGGCGGGUGGAGCUGUUUCGGUGUCCGUACCGUAAUCCGACACAGGUAGGUAGGUGGAGAACACUAAGGCGCUUGAGAGAACUCUGGUAAAGGAACUCUGCAAAUUGAUGCCGUAACUUUGGGAUAAGGCAUGCCCUAGGUGGUGAACCGACUAGCUCGGGGAGCCGUCCAGGGCCGCAGCAAAGCGGGGGUAGCGACUGUUUACCAAAAACACAGGCUUCUGCUAACUCGAAAGAGGAUGUAUAGGAGCUGACUCCUGCCCGGUGCCGGAAGGUUAAGGGGAUUGCUCAGCGUAAGCGAAGGCAUGAACCGAAGCCCCGGUAAACGGCGGCCGUAACUAUAACGGUCCUAAGGUAGCGAAAUUCCUUGGCGGGUAAGUUCCGUCCUGCACGAAUGGAGUAACGACUUCCCCACUGUCUCUACCAGAGACUCAGCGAAAUUGACCUCGCAGUGAAGAGACUGCGUACCCGCAGACGGACGGAAAGACCCCAUGAACCUUCACUGCAACUUGGCACUGACAUUCGGGACAGAUUGCGUAGGAUAGGUGGGAGGCGAUGAUACCUGUCU